CAGCUUGCUGCUUCGCUGACGAGUGGCGGACGGUGACGUAAUGUCUGGGAAACUGCCUGAUGGAGGGGAUAACUACGGAAACGGUAGCUAAUACCGCAUAACGUCGCAAGACCAAAGAGGGGGACCUUCGGGACCUCUUGCCAUCAGGAUGUCGCCCAGAUGGGAUUAGCUAGUAAGGUGGGGUAACGGCUCACCUAGGCGACGAUCCCUAGCUGGUCUGAGAGGAUGGCCAGCCACACUGGAACUGAGACACGGUCCAGACUCC
This 265-nucleotide ribosomal RNA is filed under the name uncultured Enterobacteriaceae bacterium. RNAcentral's name for it is "partial 16S ribosomal RNA". It matches the Rfam family "Bacterial small subunit ribosomal RNA", at positions 76 to 339 of the family's 1533-position model. The record is from RNAcentral. Lineage: Bacteria; Pseudomonadati; Pseudomonadota; Gammaproteobacteria; Enterobacterales; Enterobacteriaceae.